UGGCGGGUAGUUCAACUGGCAGAACGCCGGACUUUGGAUCCGGAGGUCGCAGGUUCGAUCCCUGCCCCGCCAA
Molecule: transfer RNA, 73 nt
Filed under: Acidimicrobiia bacterium
Lineage: Bacteria; Bacillati; Actinomycetota; Acidimicrobiia
Also listed under: 3 other names
Description: tRNA-Gln
Rfam family: tRNA
About the family: Transfer RNA (tRNA) molecules are approximately 80 nucleotides in length. Their secondary structure includes four short double-helical elements and three loops (D, anti-codon, and T loops). Further hydrogen bonds mediate the characteristic L-shaped molecular structure. tRNAs have two regions of fundamental functional importance: the anti-codon, which is responsible for specific mRNA codon recognition, and the 3' end, to which the tRNAs corresponding amino acid is attached (by aminoacyl-tRNA synthetases). tRNAs cope with the degeneracy of the genetic code in two manners: having more than one tRNA (with a specific anti-codon) for a particular amino acid; and 'wobble' base-pairing, i.e. permitting non-standard base-pairing at the 3rd anti-codon position.
Source: RNAcentral